This 249-nucleotide ribosomal RNA is filed under the name uncultured bacterium. RNAcentral's name for it is "partial 16S ribosomal RNA". The stretch from base 133 to 249 matches the Rfam family "Bacterial small subunit ribosomal RNA", at positions 1388 to 1501 of the family's 1533-position model. The record is from RNAcentral.
GGAUACCUUGUUACGACUUCACCCCAGUCAUCGACAGCGGCUUGGACGCCUGCCUCCCGGUAAUUUGCACUACCGGGUUGGCCCAACGUCUUCUGCCAAUAUCAACUCCCAUGGUGUGACGGGCCUUGUACACACCGCCCGUCACACCACGAAAGCGGGCAACACCCGAAGCCGGUGGCCCAACCCGCAAGGGAAGGAACCGUCGAAGGUGGGGGUCGUGAUUGGGGGUGAAGUCGUAACAAGGUAGCC